Molecule: long non-coding RNA, 725 nt
Organism: Archocentrus centrarchus (flier cichlid)
Lineage: Eukaryota; Metazoa; Chordata; Actinopteri; Cichliformes; Cichlidae
Exons: 3
Source: RefSeq, a predicted model, not a curated record
CUCAAAUAGCGCAAAAGAUUGAACUAACAGAUAAACUGUUUGGACUGCAAAAUCAAAGAAGAGCACUACCACAGAAGGUUAAAGAUUAUAGACAGUCAACAAUACAAAAUCUUCAGCUGGCUCUUUACUACAGCAGCAAAGAUGAUGUUCUGAAGAGUUGGUUUGGUGAAGAAAUAGAAAAUUGGCCAAAGGUGAUGAUAUCGGUGGGCUCUGAAUGUUUCUGGUUGGGAAGCUUGAUGGCAUUAAACAAUCCUCCACUUCAACCAGACUGGAAAAAUCAUGAUCCUGGACAUGAUCCUUUCAACAUUUUUCCACAUGGCAUAAGAGCAUCAUCUGGAAUGUAGCGGAAACAAAUUCCUUAAAGCCAUAAAAUCUGUCCUCUGUUUGAGAACCUUCGUCUGUCAUAAGUCUCAAAAUACUAUGCAACUCCAACUCUCUGUUUGUUUUAUGUAUUGUGUUAAAGACAUUUACAAAUGCAUCAGUUAAGAAGAAUUUGUUGGGCUUUUUUUUAGUUUGCAUAUUCUCCCUGUCCCUGUAUGGGUUUUUUUAUAGGUGCUUCUCUCUUCUCCCACAGUCCAAAGGAAAAGCCAAUUUUUAAAAUGGAUGUGAGUGUGAAUGGUUGUUGAUCUCUUUGUAAUGGCCCUGUGAUGGGCUUAUGACUUGUCCACUCAUGACCAAUGUCAGGUGGAACAGGUUUCAGUGGAAACUGAAUAAGUAGUUAGGAA